Molecule: ribosomal RNA, 292 nt
Filed under: uncultured bacterium
Lineage: Bacteria
Description: partial 16S ribosomal RNA
Rfam family: Bacterial small subunit ribosomal RNA
Source: RNAcentral
GUGUCAGCCGCCGCGGUAAUACGAAGGGGGCUAGCGUUGUUCGGAAUUACUGGGCGUAAAGCGCGCGUAGGCGGUGGUCCAUGUCAGAGGUGAAAUCCCGGAGCUCAACUCCGGAACUGCCUUUGAAACGGGGCCGCUAGAGUCCGAGAGAGGAUGGCGGAAUUCCUAGUGUAGAGGUGAAAUUCGUAGAUAUUAGGAAGAACACCGGUGGCGAAGGCGGCCAUCUGGCUCGGUACUGACGCUCAGGCGCGAAAGCGUGGGGAUCAAACAGGAUUAGAUACCCUAGUAGUCC